RNAcentral lists this microRNA precursor (103 nucleotides) under Marmota monax (woodchuck). Lineage: Eukaryota; Metazoa; Chordata; Mammalia; Rodentia; Sciuridae. The record is from RNAcentral.
AGUACAAUUGCUGGGUCAUAUGGUAGUUGCAUGUUUAGUUUUAAAAGAAACUGCAGAACUGUUUUUUCAGAGCAGGUGUGCCAUUUUAUAUUCCUUCAGCUAU